UGGUUCUGGCGUCGAUGAAGAACGCAGCGAAAUGCGAUACGUAAUGCGAAUUGCAGAAUUCCGUGAGUCAUCGAAUCUUUGAACGCACAUUGCGCCCAUUAGUAUUCUAGCGGGCAUGCCUGUUCGAGCGUCAUUUCAAAUUUCAAGCAUUGCUUGGUGUUGAAGUCAGCAGUCUCUUGCGGCUUCUAAAGUCAUUGGCUGAUCUGCAAUGAUCUAGACUUAGUAAUUCUUCUAGUCUCUGAUUACUUGUACGAUUUUGCCUUAAACCUCUUUCCAGUUAUUCUGGAAGAAUUUCAACAGUUUGACCUCGGAUCAGGUAGGAAUACCCGCUGA
This 333-nucleotide unclassified non-coding RNA is filed under the name uncultured fungus. RNAcentral's name for it is "partial contains 5.8S ribosomal RNA and internal transcribed spacer 2". The stretch from base 1 to 133 matches the Rfam family "5.8S ribosomal RNA", at positions 22 to 154 of the family's 154-position model. The record is from RNAcentral. Lineage: Eukaryota; Fungi.